UACGUAGGUGACCAGCGUUGUUCGGAUUUACUGGGCGUAAAGCGCACGUAGGCGGUUUGUUAAGUCAGGGGUGAAAUCCCGGAGCUCAACUCCGGAACUGCCUUUGAUACUGGCAAGCUAGAGUCCGGAAGAGGUAAGUGGAACUCCUAGUGUAGAGGUGGAAUUCGUAGAUAUUAGGAAGAACACCAGUGGCGAAGGCGGCUUACUGGUCCGGAACUGACGCUGAGGUGCGAAAGCGUGGGGAGCAAACAAG
This 253-nucleotide ribosomal RNA is filed under the name uncultured bacterium. Its description in RNAcentral is "partial 16S ribosomal RNA". It matches the Rfam family "Bacterial small subunit ribosomal RNA", at positions 524 to 776 of the family's 1533-position model. The record is from RNAcentral.